AGGGGGGGCAAAGCCAACAAGAACUGCUAAUUCUUCAAUCUGAGCUUAAACCCUCAGCCCCCUU
This 64-nucleotide transfer RNA is filed under the name Phoeniculus purpureus (green woodhoopoe). RNAcentral's name for it is "tRNA-Ser". The record is from RNAcentral. Lineage: Eukaryota; Metazoa; Chordata; Aves; Bucerotiformes; Phoeniculidae.